AGGGCUAUAGCUCAGUUGGUAGAGCAACUCGUUUACACCGAGUCCGUAUAGCCCUA
Molecule: transfer RNA, 56 nt
Filed under: Phedimus sikokianus
Lineage: Eukaryota; Viridiplantae; Streptophyta; Magnoliopsida; Saxifragales; Crassulaceae
Description: tRNA-Val
Rfam family: tRNA
About the family: Transfer RNA (tRNA) molecules are approximately 80 nucleotides in length. Their secondary structure includes four short double-helical elements and three loops (D, anti-codon, and T loops).
Source: RNAcentral